AUUGAACGCUGGCGGAAUGCUUUACACAUGCAAGUCGAACGGUAGAGGGGGCAACCCCUUGAGAGUGGCGAACGGGUGAGUAAUAUAUCGGAACGUGCCCAGUCGUGGGGAUAACGUAGCGAAAGCUACGCUAAUACCGCAUACGAUCUAUGGAUGAAAGCGGGGGAUCGCAAGACCUCGCGCGAUUGGAGCGGCCGAUAUCAGAUUAGGUAGUUGGUGAGGUAAAGGCUCACCAAGCCGACGAUCUGUAGCUGGUCUGAGAGGACGACCAGCCACACUGGGACUGAGACACGGCCCAGACUCCUACGGGAGGCAGCAGUGGGGAAUUUUGGACAAUGGGCGCAAGCCUGAUCCAGCAAUGCCGCGUGCAGGAUGAAGGCCUCGGUUGUAAC
This 392-nucleotide ribosomal RNA is filed under the name uncultured bacterium. RNAcentral's name for it is "bacterial SSU rRNA". It matches the Rfam family "Bacterial small subunit ribosomal RNA", at positions 30 to 429 of the family's 1533-position model. The record is from RNAcentral.